CUUGAACGCUGGCGGCAUGCCUUACACAUGCAAGUCGAACGGUAACAGGUCUUCGGACGCUGACGAGUGGCGCACGGGUGAGUAAUGCAUCGGAACGUGCCCAGUCGUGGGGGAUAACUGCUCGAAAGAGCAGCUAAUACCGCAUACGACCUGAGGGUGAAAGCGGGGGACCGUAAGGCCUCGCGCGAUUGGAGCGGCCGAUGUCAGAUUAGCUAGUUGGUGGGGUAAAGGCCUACCAAGGCAACGAUCUGUAGUUGGUCUGAGAGGACGACCAGCCACACUGGGACUGAGACACGGCCCAGACUCCUACGGGAGGCAGCAGUGGGGAAUUUUGGACAAUGGGCGCAAGCCUGAUCCAGCAAUGCCGCGUGCAGGAAGAAGGCCUUCGGGUUGUAAACUGCUUUUGUCAGGGAAGAAAUCUUCUGGGCUAAUACCCCGGGAGGAUGACGGUACCUGAAGAAUAAGCACCGGCUAACUACGUG
Molecule: ribosomal RNA, 482 nt
Filed under: uncultured bacterium
Lineage: Bacteria
Description: partial 16S ribosomal RNA
Rfam family: Bacterial small subunit ribosomal RNA
Source: RNAcentral